RNAcentral lists this ribosomal RNA (335 nucleotides) under uncultured bacterium. RNAcentral describes it as "bacterial SSU rRNA". It matches the Rfam family "Bacterial small subunit ribosomal RNA", at positions 335 to 672 of the family's 1533-position model. The record is from RNAcentral.
ACUCCUACGGGAGGCAGUAGUAAGGAAUAUUGCGCAAUGGACGAAAGUCUGACGCAGCGACGCCGCGUGGGGGAUGAAGGUCUUCGGAUUGUAAACCCCUUUCGGGAGGGAAGAUGGAGUGGGUAACCGCUUGGACGGUACCUCCAGAAGCAGCCACGGCUAACUUCGUGCCAGCAGCCGCGGUAAUACGAAGGUGGCAAGCGUUGUUCGGAUUCACUGGGCGUACAGGGAGCGUAGGCGGUUGGGUAAGCCCUCCGUGAAAUCUCCGGGCCUAACCCGGAAAGUGCAGAGGGGACUGCUCAGCUAGAGGAUGGGAGAGGAGCGCGGAAUUCCCG